Molecule: ribosomal RNA, 221 nt
Filed under: Klebsiella michiganensis
Lineage: Bacteria; Pseudomonadati; Pseudomonadota; Gammaproteobacteria; Enterobacterales; Enterobacteriaceae
Description: partial 16S ribosomal RNA
Rfam family: Bacterial small subunit ribosomal RNA
Source: RNAcentral
GGGAGGCAGCAGUGGGGAAUAUUGCACAAUGGGCGCAAGCCUGAUGCAGCCAUGCCGCGUGUAUGAAGAAGGCCUUCGGGUUGUAAAGUACUUUCAGCGGGGAGGAAGGUGAUAAGGUUAAUAACCUUGUCGAUUGACGUUACCCGCAGAAGAAGCACCGGCUAACUCCGUGCCAGCAGCCGCGGUAAUACGGAGGGUGCAAGCGUUAAUCGGAAUUACUG